CAUGUAGACUCUAUAGUGUCAGAUUUAAGCUGACUGUAACCUUAUCAUGGACUACUUUUCAGAACCUCUACAUGACAACUCCGAUUUCCCCUUUGUCAUACACGGUAUGUCCCAUUGACUUUAUAACAUAUGGCAUGCCCUCUCCUCAAUCCACCACACUGAAUCAGUUUCCUACCUCUCGCCAUGCCUGUGCUUAUCCCUAGGUAUUUGCGUGGGACACUUUCUCUUCUAUGCAUGACUGACCACAUUCUGUCAUUUCCAAAACUGCUGCCUGAAAUUCGGGCUCUUCCUGCAUGUCCACCACCCUAAAGCAUUCUAUUGGUUCCUGCACGAACUCCCAUUGUCGACCUCACCUCGCCUGACCUCACCUCGCCUGAUGUGUACCUGAGAGAACUGCCCAACCAGUAGACAGUGUCCUUCAACCCGCCUCCCGCUAGCACAGCAGACUAGGGCGACGCCGUGUUCUAGCUAGCAUGAUAUUUAGCGACACUGUGUGUUAGCACACGGUGUCGCCUCCUGCCUGCCGAACACCUGCCCUGAACGUUGUUAACAGAACUGCGGGAAAACAGUUCCUGACAGGCAAAGACGAAGGACACUGUCUAUCGGUGUACGGCUAGAUAGCUACCGUUGUUGCCCAGUCCAGUGUUGCCAACUCCUCCGUAAGGAAAGUAGCUAUUGGCUGUCCUAAAAGUCGCUAGAAGUCGCGAAAUGACGUCAUCACAUAAUUUGCAUAAUUGGCCAUGUGCAUGUAAUUGUGAUGGACGCUGUAGGAGAGCGGAAUAACGCCGUGGGAGAGACAAAAAAAGUUUGGACGUAGCUCUGGAGUGGAUGGCAGACGUCAUGUUCAGAAGCUCAAUGCCAGGCUGAGAGAGAACACUCUUCUGUUAUACAAGUGUUGGAGGGAAAUAUGUCAGAAGACUUGGAUACACGUGACCUGUGUGUCAGUCUCUUCCCUAGUUUAAUUUCCAGGUGCGGCGAAAAAUGUUUGCCAAGAUGAUAUCGCUGUAUGCUAUGUCUCUGUUUAUUAUUUGUGCUAGGGAGGAGGUGGAAGUGGAUCAGUAAGAGCUGGUUGAAAAAGCUCAGGAGUGUAAUGACCAAAAUGUGAGUUCACACCAUUGCUAUUGUUCAUCAAGCGCAUGUUUUUGACACGUCACAGUCAAUUGAACGUAGGUACAGGCAGUCGACAAUAAAGGAUUAUAGCGCUA
Salmo salar (Atlantic salmon) is the source of this 1205-nucleotide long non-coding RNA. RefSeq lists it as uncharacterized. NCBI's taxonomy places the organism in Eukaryota, Metazoa, Chordata, Actinopteri, Salmoniformes, Salmonidae. The record is from RefSeq and is a predicted model, not a curated record.